Cicer arietinum (chickpea) is the source of this 632-nucleotide long non-coding RNA. RefSeq lists it as uncharacterized. The record is from RefSeq and is a predicted model, not a curated record. Lineage: Eukaryota; Viridiplantae; Streptophyta; Magnoliopsida; Fabales; Fabaceae.
CCCAAAAUUGAAAAAUGUUUUUUUUUUCUCUUUCUAAUUUAGAUUCAGAAUUUAGAAUACUCAGUUCUGGGAUUAUUGAUGAAUCUGUUCAGGUUUGAUCUUUCAACUUUGUAACACGUUCUGCAAUUUUUUGACAACAUUAUUAAUGAAAUGAGCUUUCAGUUUCCCUUGACUAUGGAGGUUUGGCUACACAAGUAUACCUUGUUGCAGAAUAUGGGAAAGAUGGGAAAAAAAAGAUUUUUAUGAUUUUGUUUUUAUGCAAUUCUAAUCAAUGACCAUGUUUUUCAGAUGCAGAGAGAUUGAACUUUGAUGACUUGUUCUGAAUUUUAUUGAACUUUUAGUUGCAACACAGAACAAAUCAGGAAGAAACUAGAUUUCUAAUGUCUAUCAAGAUGAAGAAAACUGAUAAUAAAAGCUGAAGAGGGCAAUGCUAGUUGAUACAUUGAAUUGUAUUGAGUAUAUUGAACUGUAAUUACAAGAAAUAUUUAUGAGAUCCUAUUACCUAAUUGUGCUGUUUCAGAUUACUAAAACGAGUAAAUUAAUUUGUCUCAUAAAUCUGUAAAUCAGACUGUGGUAAUAGUUGUCAAUUCGUUUGACAUAAACCAGUAAAUAGAUAAAUCAUUUCACAUAAA